This 4303-nucleotide long non-coding RNA is filed under the name Physcomitrium patens. RNAcentral describes it as "long non-coding RNA (PPAT_LNC004512)". The record is from RNAcentral. Lineage: Eukaryota; Viridiplantae; Streptophyta; Bryopsida; Funariales; Funariaceae.
ACGCUGGAAGGUGGCGAUUUCACUGGAGAAAUUCCUGUAAGCAUUCUGCUAUCGAAAAGUUUUAAGAUUUGAUGAUGUUAAUGAAUUACUGAGGUCUACGUUGUGGAGACUGAUGAACUUCGGUGAAAUAUGAGCAGAAUGAUAUCAAUCGAAUGAAGUUCUUGAGUUCAUUGACCAUCCGGAAUACUGCUUUCCUGGGUGCCAUUCCCCAAGCAAUAGCCGACCUUCGCAACCUGAAAACCCUGUGAGCUCAUUCAGAACAUUGAAGACGUCUCAUCAUUCUCAUAUCUGAAAACUUUGAUUCGUAGCAUCUGGUUACGAUUGUCAGGGGAACUGAUUGAGGUGUGCAUCUCCUUUCAGAAUCGUUGCAAACAACCCGCAGCUGAACGGUACUUUUCCGACGUGGGUGAUGAGCCUCAAGAACCUUGAGCAGCUGUGAGUUUCUCCGCACUUUCAUCCGCACUGUCGAUAGUUCGGCGAUUCAUCAACUGCUUGAUUUGUGAUCUAAAAGAUGAAUGCUGUGGUAAUUCUGUAGGAGCUUGGCGGGGAACAAUUUAACGGGCUCUAUAAUCGGUUGUAACAACACAACACAGGCCAAGUACGCGUUCUGAACACCCCACCAAUUAAUUUUAGACUCCACUUUCGCCAAUUGAAGAAAAUGCUCCAUAUGCUUUAAAUGUUUGAUGUGAACUUGCUGGCAUGCGAUUGAUUGCGGUGCUCGGUUGGUGUGUGGGUAGAAACUUCUCGGUACCGGUUGCAGGUGGAGUCACGGUCGAAGUACCGUCGCCUUACACCGAUCUAGUGAAUGUAACGCUUCCGAAUGUGCCGGUGCUGAUGUUCAGGCCGCAGAAUGUCACUUUGCCCACUGUGGCCAUCCCCAUUCUGAUGUUCAACACACUUCCGAAUGUUUCUGCACCGUAAGAGUUUUCCAUCUUAUCUCCCUCGAUUUCACAAGUCGUCUCAAGCACUGAAUUGAAGUUCGGUUUCACCAUUUUUCGUCUAGCAAUGUGGAUUUAAACAUAGUGUGAAAUGGUUGUGGCAUGAUGAUGCAUCGGGAGCAGAAACCUGACGGAUGUCACGAUCACGAGUCCUCUGUAAGAUGUCGACGACUCUUACCCCACGAUUCUGUCGGUCUGCUCAUGGAGCUCUAAUACCGAGCCUUCCUGAUUCAAUUGUUGCGAUUGAUGUCGUGAUUGAACACAUAGUUUUAUUUUGUUUUGUGGAAAAGACAUCACAUCAGCUCUUCGAAGUGAAGGAGAGUGGUUCCUAAGUUCCUCUUGUUAAUGCAAUUGGUGGAUUUCUGUUAAGCAGGGUAUUCAUGUGUCCUAACGUCUCCAUCCCAUCUCCUUCAAACAUGUACGGUAUUCUUCCACUGUGUUCUUUCAGCUUGGCCGCAUGCUCAUCUAUCCUGUACCCAUGCAUCGUGAGAAUACUGCAUUACUGAAAAUCCUUAUGUGGCACUUCGUACUGCAGAACCUUGCAUACUUCAAACUGGACUAUUCAACCCACGUUGCAGCCGCUGUAAGCGUCAUCUCUAUCCUUCGCGAUUAUUGCUAUUACAUGCUGAAAGAUAUGCUUGUAAUUGACAAUGUCACUCAAAUUUUGGGUUGUGAACUGCUUGCAGCAACUGGACGCUAGAUUUCCCGAACCUUUCGCCCCCGUAAGUUACAUGCACAUUUUUAAAGUUUCAAGCCGCAUCUUUAAAGUUUGCACAAACUGAAUUUCGAUCACUACCGGCAGAACUUUGCUGAUUUUAUCAAUUGGUUGCACUUAUGAGGAACUGGACAUACAUGAGUUGGUGUCGCAGGAUAGCCCGUGUGAGGAAUUUUACGUGGCCAACUCUGCCCGCGUCGUAAGCCCUCGGAUUACUACAUCCCUCUUCUUAUAGAGCAAUUUUCCGUUUUAAUAAUUUCCCACACAACAGAAAAAUGUCAUGGAGACAGAGUUCGCACAGAUCUUGGUGGUGCAACUCGAAUAGCUUAAAUCGACGCUUGUCUUCGAGGCAGCCUAUUUCUCUGCAUUAAACAUGUUCAUUAUUCCUCAAAGGCAUGUAAUUGUUAAUUGAUCCAACGUUAUUAUGCUCCUUGGCGCAGGAACAAGUCAAACUUCACACAGCCAUGGUAAUUAGCCUCUGACUUGACACAUCUAUUCUCUAAACUGCAAAUACGUCGAAGAGUUGAAACUUGCCCAUCGAGGCAUAAUCUCUACUCCUGUUAUCACGAGAUCAGUAAAAAAACAGCAUUCUAAACCCACAUCGCAUGAGUUUGCAACCGAAUAACGUUACCUAAUGUUUAGAGUUAUGGUUUGAGGGCCGCAGGAUUGUUGUGACUGCCACCAUGUUCAACUGGUCGACGUUUGCCUGGUAAUUAGCUAUUCUUCGGUAAACCUCGUUUGUGAGCUUAGCUUCGCCCUGUUCGAAAUUUUGCAAUGGGGUUAUUGGAGAAACUAGAAUUAUCCUGUCUCUACGUAGGUGUUGUGUAUGGUGAGAAAUCUUUUCCACUGAUUUGUGGGUUGAGCGUCGAAUUUCGCUUUGAUCAGGAACAUCUCUGAAGGGCCUUCAAUCGAUGUGCCUGGCGUUGAGAAACCAGUGCGCUGUGUGUAAGUUUCACUGCUUUGAGUUUGUGCAUAUAUAUAUAGUUCUUGAUAAUUUUAUCAUUUGCAGCAGUGUCAGUAAGUACGUACGUAUGUGUGUGUACAUAUAAAUGUACUCAAUAUAAUUUACCAAUGUUAAUCAUAGUGUAAGCGGAUAUGCAGAAACGUUUCAGUUCCAAAUCCUUUCCCCUGGACUUCUCCAGAUAUUUCUAAAUUGUGAGAUACAAUUCUCACCACAUUGUAUUUACUAGAGAGGUUCAUUGAGAUAGAGUUCAUUUUGAUUUGUAUGUUUUAUUGUAUCUGUUGAAAUUUGCCAUGUUUAGGAGCUGGCAUUUGGUGUUUGUAUAAUGGAGUUUAUUUAAACUAUUUUUAAGAUGUCGUUCAUGAUUUGUGUCAAAAUUACCCUUUAGACAUGGAUGAACAUAUAAAUUAAUAAAUAAAUAAAAAUUGCAUUUUAAUAUGUGAAUGUUGAUGAUGUAGGAACUUCACAUUUCCAGUGUUUCCGCCUUCACAGAGGAGUCCAUGGUUCAGUGUUAUAAACAGAACCACCUUCCCACCUCUUCCUUCUAUUCCUUGGAAUCCUUUUAAAUUUGGUCUAUCUCCUCUACCUCAAUUCCAACCACCUAAUUUUACAUUUCCUGAUCUUCCUCCCUUGCCCCAACUUCCUCCUUUAAAUUUCACAUUACCUCCUUUACCCCAACUCCAUCCUCUUAAUUACACAUUUCCACCUUUGCCCGAAGUGGUCCCUCCUAAUAUCACAGUACCACCUUUAUCUCCUCUUCCUUCCAUUCCACCUCUCAUAAAUGACCCCGUUUUUAACAUCUCAAAUAUUACUUCAUUCCCACCGUUACCAAGUGUUCCACAAUCUCCGCCACUUCCCCUACCAAAUAUCACCUUACCAACAUUUCCACCCCUUCCACCCCUCAAUUUCCCCUCUUCCAAUGUGUCUAGAUUUCCUCCCAUUUUUAACACUACUUUUCCAAAGUUUCCACCCUUGUCUCCAAUUCCAGGACUCCCAAGUGUGGGUGUUGGAGUGAAUGGUAGUGUGGGUGUUAACACCACCAUUCCAAGUGUUGGAAUUAAUGGAACUGUUUGUGCAAACGCAACCACUCCGCCAAUUGGGUCACCUCUUUCGGGUACCAUUAUCAAUUCUACAAUCCCUUCACUACCACCUAAUUUUACAUUUAGUAAUCCACCACUCCCUCACCUUAUGGCUCCUAAUUUCACCUUUGUGUUUCCACCUUUGCCUCACUUCACACCACCCAACUUUACUUUCCCACCUCUAAAUCCUAAUUUUACACAUUCCAACUUUACUCUUCCACCACUUCCCGAGUAUACUCCACCUAAUAUAACAUUGCCAUCAAUCCCACCUUUGCCUCAAUACACACAUCCUAAUUACACCUUGCCCACCGUGCCACCAAGUUAUGAGAUUUUGCCCCCAAAUUUCACAUUUCCUCCCUUGCCUCAAAUUGUUCUACCAAUUAAUCUCACUCUUCCUCCAAUUCCUCCCUUCAUACCACCAAAUGUGACUCUCCCACCUCUUCCUACUAUUACUAAACCUAAUUUCACCUUUUAUGAUAUUCCACCUUUGCCACAAUAUGAGCCUUCUAAUUUAACUUCACCUCCUCUUCCAGAACUCACACCUCCAAAUUUAACGUGGCCAUGGCCAUGGUCCAUUGGAAUUAAUCUCACAAAUAUUACUAUUGGGGCC